Molecule: long non-coding RNA, 157 nt
Filed under: Canis lupus familiaris (dog)
Lineage: Eukaryota; Metazoa; Chordata; Mammalia; Carnivora; Canidae
Description: lncRNA (ENSCAFG00845020270.1)
Source: RNAcentral
CAGAAAUCCUAAAUUGCAGUGCCCUGCACCCCACUGAAACUCUUCAGUCUGCUAUUGGGAGGGACCUCAUUGCUCUUAGAUACAAGGAGUCAGAGUAAAGCCAUGGAAAUUCAGGCAUGAAUUGUGAGAGGCGUUGGACAAGUUAAGCUCACUGAAA